GGAGGGUGCAAGCGUUAUCCGGAUUCACUGGGUUUAAAGGGUGCGUAGGAGGGCAGGUAAGUCAGUGGUGAAAUCUCCAAGCUUAACUUGGAAACUGCCGUUGAUACUAUCUGUCUUGAAUAUUGUGGAGGUGAGCGGAAUAUGUCAUGUAGCGGUGAAAUGCUUAGAUAUGACAUAGAACACCAAUUGCGAAGGCAGCUCGCUACUCAAUUAUUGACUCUGAGGCACGAAAGCGUGGGGAUCAAACAGGAUUAGAUACCCUGGUAGUCCACGCCCUAAACUAUGGAUACUCGACAUACGCGAUAUACAGUGUGUGUCUGAGCGAAAGCAUUAAGUAUCCCACCUGGGAAGUACGACCGCAAGGUUGAA
This 369-nucleotide ribosomal RNA is filed under the name uncultured bacterium. Its description in RNAcentral is "bacterial SSU rRNA". It matches the Rfam family "Bacterial small subunit ribosomal RNA", at positions 527 to 898 of the family's 1533-position model. The record is from RNAcentral.